GGUGAAAAUAGGCUUUCAGGUGAAUUCCCACGUGCCAUCUUAAACUUUUCUUCUCUUCAAUGUCUAAGCUUAGAGUUAAAUAUGCUAAGGAAGGCAUUGCCAACUAACAUUGGUGGCUUUCUGCCUUAUCUGAAAGACCUAACCUUGUACGACAACAUGUUUCAGGGUCACAUCCCAGCUUCCCUCGGCAAUGCUUCGGGGUUAGAACCCAUAGAUUUCUACAUCUAUAUCUAUACCUACUAUUAAACCAAGGCGAUAUUCUUAGUUUCGUCCCGCGGUAAUUUUGUCUUCUAGUUCUCGCGGUACGCAAGGUGGUACUUUUUCUCUUCCUUCUGUUUCUUUGUGCGUCGCGCAAGGCCACGCUGGACCAUGUCGCUGCAAUGGGCCUCGGCCCACUCUGCGUCCUGCACGCGCACCCUCGCUUUCCUGGAUUUUUGCCUUGGAGUCCGUCGUAUCCCUUUACGUGCGUCGCUGCGUUUUGUACUAUGCUGGGCCGAGUUAGCCCAUAUAUGUACAUUUUUUUUUUUGCUGCGUUAUAUCCCCUGCUGGACCGAGCUAGCCCGGUAUGCACAAUUUUUUUUCAUGUCUGAUUGGCAAAAAUUAUUGCUCUUAGGGGUUUCGAACUCAGAACUUCACUUUGAGUCCAAGAGGCUAGAGCCAACAGAGCUGCUUCUGAUUGUGUGGAAAAUUGAGGUUUGCCAGCCUAUUAGUCCCACAUCGCGUCUUUGCAUCCAAUUCAAUCAGUUUAUAUACAUUUGUGAGUUGUACGGUUGACGUGCAACCUUAAGAAUCAACUAAGCAGGAUGAGCUGUGGGUCCUGUAUAACCUACAGAAACAGAGCAUUAAAAAUCCAGAUUUGGAAUGGAAUAAAUAAAGGAGUAAAUUCCAGUUUUUACUCCUAAGUUUGACAUUUUUGACACUGGUUACCCUAUUUAAAAGAAUUUCAUCCGUCAUACCCAUUUAACAAAAAUGUUGCCGGGUUUACCCUCUUCUUUUUUUUUGUGAGGAUUCUGAUUCAUGGGUCCCGAUUGCGAAGUCCACGUGUCAUGCCACGUCGUCAGUUUUUCUGGGUUUUUUCCUCAUGUGAAACCAGCCCGCACCGCUGAGCCCGACAGGAUCACUGAACCGCACGCACCGUCAGUCCUGGCGAUCGACGCUCGACCCGGGCCGCACCGCGUUCGUGUCUAGCCUAGCGCACGCACCGGUCGCCCGGCUUCUUACCGCACGCACCGCUGUCGCUCGCGCCUAGGGUUAGGGAUUCUCUUACGGCGGCGCCGGCGCCGGCGACGGAGACGGAGAUGGCGGCCGCGGGUGCUGAAGGGAAACGACAGCAGCUGCAGGUGCUGAAUGACAUCGACGGCUACUGCGGGCGCUGAAUGGCGGCGACGGGGACGGCGGGUGCCUAAGGGCCGUGACGGUGGCGACGGUGCUGAAGGGCCGCGACGGUGGCGGAUGGUGUUGAGGGGCGGCGGCGACGACGGCGUGCGGCCGUGCCUCGAGCGUGUAGUCUCAUGCUGGUGCGUUAUCCCGCCCCGGCCGUCACGGUCAGCAAGUUCAGGGCGCAGUUAACUCCUCUAGUGAUUCUGUGAUGGCUCGUUUGAUAUAUCACCCAGAAGCCAUUGCCGUGAAGAAUGAUGAGCUGCAAGCAGAGCAGGAGGUGCGCACUCUGAAGUUGCUCAGCUUGGUGGAGAUGGAAAAUGAGCUUGCCAUUUUAGUUGCCGUGCUUCUAUUUGCAACUGUUGCUGCUGAUGCGACGUACUUCGACAACAAGUGCAUGACUGAAUGUAGCUACAUCCACUUUAUGUGUCUUUUGAGUCUGUUGGUGAUGGUGGAAUCUAGAGUGUGGUUACAUGUAAAGUAGUGAACCGGUGAUGUUUGUAUUGACCUAAUGAUGCUGAAGUGUGGUUUUUGUGGUAGUAGUGAACUAGAUGCUGUUUAGUGUAAGUAAUGAUGCAAGUAUGCAAAAAAUUUGAACAAAUAUCAAAGUGAUGAAAGAAAUUCAAACUAGUACUGUUGCUUAUGUA
Molecule: long non-coding RNA, 2024 nt
Organism: Aegilops tauschii subsp. strangulata
Lineage: Eukaryota; Viridiplantae; Streptophyta; Magnoliopsida; Poales; Poaceae
Source: RefSeq, a predicted model, not a curated record